Molecule: ribosomal RNA, 400 nt
Filed under: uncultured fungus
Lineage: Eukaryota; Fungi
Description: eukaryotic LSU rRNA
Rfam family: 5.8S ribosomal RNA (bases 1-134)
Source: RNAcentral
UUGGCUCUCGCAUCGAUGAAGAACGCAGCGAAAUGCGAUAAGUAAUGUGAAUUGCAGAUUUCAGUGAAUCAUCGAAUCUUUGAACGCACCUUGCACUCUUUGGUAUUCCGAAGAGUAUGCCUGUUUGAGUGUCAUUAAAUUCUCAAACCUCACAAGUUUUGCGACUUUGUUGAGGCUUUGGAUGUGGGAGUUGCUGGCUUUCACGAGUCAGCUCUCCUUAAAUGCAUUAGUGGUUACUGUUCACUACAUCCUGGUGUGAUAAUAUCUACGCCUAGUAGUGAUGUUAAGUGUAGCUGCUUAUAACCGUCCAUUAGCUUGGACAAUUUGAACCAUUUGACCUCAAAUCAGGUAGGACUACCCGCUGAACUUAAGCAUAUCAAUAAGCGGAGGAAAAGAAACU